GUCUACAUAGAUUAUUAAUAAAUCGUGAUGCUGUUAACUUCAAGAAGGGAUACGUCUCUGUAGUCG
This 66-nucleotide transfer RNA is filed under the name Clistobothrium montaukensis. Its description in RNAcentral is "tRNA-Asn". Lineage: Eukaryota; Metazoa; Platyhelminthes; Cestoda; Phyllobothriidea; Phyllobothriidae. The record is from RNAcentral.